CGAACGCUGGCGGCGUGCCUAAUACAUGCAAGUGGGACGCAAGAGGACACACUGUGCUUGCACACCGUGUUUUCUUGAGUCGCGAACGGGUGAGUAACGCGUAGGUAACCUGCCUAUUAGCGGGGGAUAACUAUUGGAAACGAUAGCUAAUACCGCAUAAUAUUAAUUAUUGCAUGAUAAUUGAUUGAAAGAUGCAAGCGCAUCACUAGUAGAUGGACCUGCGUUGUAUUAGCUAGUUGGUAAGGUAAGAGCUUACCAAGGCGACGAUACAUAGCCGACCUGAGAGGGUGAUCGGCCACACUGGGACUGAGACACGGCCCAGACUCCUACGGGAGGCAGCAGUAGGGAAUCUUCGGCAAUGGACGAAAGUCUGACCGAGCAACGCCGCGUGAGUGAAGAAGGUUUUCGGAUCGUAAAGCUCUGUUGUAAGUCAAGAACGUGUGUGAGAGGGAAAGUUCACAC
This 462-nucleotide ribosomal RNA is filed under the name Streptococcus mutans. RNAcentral's name for it is "bacterial SSU rRNA". It matches the Rfam family "Bacterial small subunit ribosomal RNA", at positions 30 to 469 of the family's 1533-position model. Lineage: Bacteria; Bacillati; Bacillota; Bacilli; Lactobacillales; Streptococcaceae. The record is from RNAcentral.